CCUACGGGUGGCAGCAGUGGGGAAUAUUGCACAAUGGGGGAAACCCUGAUGCAGCGACGCCGCGUGAGUGAAGAAGUAUUUCGGUAUGUAAAGCUCUAUCAGCAGGGAAGAAAGUGACGGUACCUCAUUAAGAAGCCGCGGCUAACUACGUGCCAGCAGCCGCGGUGAUACGUAGGGGGCAAGCGUUAUCCGGAUUUACUGGGUGUAAAGGGAGCGUAGACGGCAGCUCAAGGCAGAAGUGAAAGCCCGGGGCUUAACCCCGGGACUGCUUUUGUAACUGAGUAGCUAGAGUGCAGGAGAGGUAAGCGGAAUUCCUAGUGUAGCGGUGAAAUGCGUAGAUAUUAGGAGGAACACCAGUGGCGAAGGCGGCUUACUGGACUGUAACUGACGUUGAGGCUCGAAAGCGUGGGGAGCAAACAGGAUUAGAUACCCCAGUAGUC
RNAcentral lists this ribosomal RNA (440 nucleotides) under uncultured bacterium. RNAcentral describes it as "partial 16S ribosomal RNA". It matches the Rfam family "Bacterial small subunit ribosomal RNA", at positions 338 to 795 of the family's 1533-position model. The record is from RNAcentral.